RNAcentral lists this ribosomal RNA (253 nucleotides) under uncultured bacterium. RNAcentral's name for it is "partial 16S ribosomal RNA". It matches the Rfam family "Bacterial small subunit ribosomal RNA", at positions 524 to 776 of the family's 1533-position model. The record is from RNAcentral.
UACGUAGGUGGCAAGCGUUGUCCGGAUUUACUGGGCGUAAAGAGCGCGCAGGCGGCCAAGUCAGUCGAAUGUGAAAGCCCCCGGCUUAACUGGGGAGGGUCAUUCGAUACUGCUCGGCUCGAAGACAGGAGAGGGAAGUGGAAUUCCCGGUGUAGUGGUGAAAUGCGUAGAGACCCGGAGGAACACCAGUGGCGAAGGCGGCUUCCUGGUCUGCGACUGACGCUGUGGCGCGAAAGCUAGGGGAGCAAACGGG